This 253-nucleotide ribosomal RNA is filed under the name uncultured bacterium. RNAcentral's name for it is "partial 16S ribosomal RNA". It matches the Rfam family "Bacterial small subunit ribosomal RNA", at positions 524 to 776 of the family's 1533-position model. The record is from RNAcentral.
UACAGAGGGUGCAAGCGUUGUUCGGAAUUAUUGGGCGUAAAGCGCGUGUAGGCGGCUUUGCAAGUCGGGUGUGAAAGCCCUCAGCUCAACUGAGGAAGUGCGCCCGAAACUGCAGAGCUUGAGUACCGGAGAGGAUGGUGGAAUUCCCCAAGUAGAGGUGAAAUUCGUAGAUAUGGGGAGGAACACCGGUGGCGAAGGCGACGUCCUGGACCGGUAUUGACGCUGAGGCGCGAAAGCCAGGGGAGCAAACGGG